Molecule: ribosomal RNA, 292 nt
Filed under: uncultured bacterium
Lineage: Bacteria
Description: partial 16S ribosomal RNA
Rfam family: Bacterial small subunit ribosomal RNA
Source: RNAcentral
GUGUCAGCAGCCGCGGUAAUACAGAGGUCUCGAGCGUUAGGCGGAAUCACUGGGCUUAAAGCGUGUGUAGGCGGAUCGUUAAGUACCUUGUGAAAUCCCACGGCUCACCCGUGGAACUGCUGGGUAUACUGGCGAUCUUGGGCCAUUUAGGGGCAACUGGAACAAGCGGUGGAGCGGUGAAAUGCGUAGAUAUCGCUUGGAACGCCAAAGGUGAAAACAGGUUGCUGGGAAUGUGCCGACGCUGAGACACGAAAGCCAGGGGAGCAAACGGGAUUAGAAACCCCGGUAGUCC